GUUGACUGUUUUGCAUAUAUUUUUACUUCUACAAGUUUUCCCAUCUUCCCUCAGUAUGAAGUCAUCGUGACACUUGCAGAUAUAGGAAUCGUCAGUGUUAACACAAAUGUGUUCACAGCCAUGGUUAACUGAUUUGCAAACAUCUUUAUAUUUACAUGUCUUUCCAUCUUCCUUCAGUACGAAAUUUUCAUGACACUUGCACACGUAGGAUUCUCCCGAAUUCACACAAACUUGUUCACAGCCAUGGUUGAUUGAAUUGCAAAUAUCCUUGUUUUUACAGGUUUUCCC
This 288-nucleotide long non-coding RNA is filed under the name Gallus gallus (chicken). Lineage: Eukaryota; Metazoa; Chordata; Aves; Galliformes; Phasianidae. The record is from RNAcentral.